AGAUGCCACUCCCUUCUUGUGAGAAGUAGGAGUAGGGCUGAGAAAGGAUUUAGCCUUCCUUCUAGCCUUAAUUUUUCCAGUGGAAACCUAGAUCCUCCUCUCCCCACUACCACCUCCUAGGCGACCUUACCCGCCUGCAGAUGUCUUCAACAGUAGAGAGUCCUAGUGAGCCUGGGGCCCCAUCUAGUGCCAUACCCCACUUUGAUGGUCCUGUUAAUGCCCUCCCACAUUGUAGUUAGGGUUUAGCUGAGAAGUGGGGUAUAAGGCAGACCCCCUGUGCUGAGGAUUGAUCCGGGGCCUGGGAGGAAGCAGAUUCCUUUACCACAUUUCGUUGUUCCCUCUGGCUUGUGGGGGCACGGCUGUGCUCCAUGUGGCAAGGUGGAAGGCAUGGACGUGUGGAGGAGGCGCUGGAGCUGAAGGAAUGGACGGGCCCUGGGAGGAGGGCAGAAGGCUACGCAGGGCUGAGGAUGAAGAUGCAGCCCCUGGAUGGUCCCAGACUCUCAGGACAUGCCCAGCUCAGGGGCUUCGAGCCACAGGCCUGGCCUCAUAUGGCAUGAGGGG
This 561-nucleotide small RNA is filed under the name Pan troglodytes (chimpanzee). RNAcentral describes it as "processed transcript". Lineage: Eukaryota; Metazoa; Chordata; Mammalia; Primates; Hominidae. The record is from RNAcentral.